This 1933-nucleotide unclassified non-coding RNA is filed under the name Leishmania donovani. RNAcentral describes it as "gene:LdHU3.33.1660(CDS-product:PSP1_C-inal_conser ved_region_containing_protein_putative)". The record is from RNAcentral. Lineage: Eukaryota; Euglenozoa; Kinetoplastea; Trypanosomatida; Trypanosomatidae.
GGACAUGAAUUGGGAGAAGCACACCAGCGUUCUGCAGGUGAUUGACUUUGUAAUCAGUAAAACCAUACGUCACCGCGUUGAACACGCUUUUUGUUGUUGCUGCAUCGCGCGCCCACUGCAAAAAUGCACGAUCAGAAGAAAAAAGAGAAACAGGUGCUAUCUCCUGAGGCAAAGGAGGCCGCCGCACGGGAGAACGAGCGUGUCGGUGCUCUGUACAAGUCCGUCUUGGCGUCGAGCAAGGCCCACGAGUACAACUCAACGACACUCGCGAAAACCGAGGAACUGCUGCUAGCCGUCCCGGAGGCCUACACGGUAUACAACUGCCGCCGCCUGGCCCUCGAAGCUGUAGCAUCAAUGCAGCCCUGCGCUGACUCAUCGGGGUCGGCCGCCGAGACGAGCAGUGAUGCAGCAGAGGCUACACCCGCCGCUAGCCGGCAACAGUGUCUUGUCCAGGAGCUCAAGUUCAAUUCAAAGGUGCUGCUGCUGAACUACAAAAAUUACAACGCCUUCCUACACCGGCACUGGAUCUUUGAUCAGCUGGAGGCGUUGGCCAAGCUGGAGAUGCAGCAGGCGACUGGACACGCUGCGGGCGCAGCUGCGAACGCCACUGCGCCUGGCACGUAUGAGCUGCUCUGCAGCCUCCUUCGCAAAGAGCGUGCGCAGUGCGAGCAGCUGCUGCAGAUGGACGAGCGCAACUUCCACGCCUGGAACUAUCGUCGCUGGGUCCUAGCGCAAGAGCUCCGCGCCACCCAGCUGGCGGAGGCCCACCGUCCUGCUCAUUCGCCGUUCGCGUCGGCGGAAGACGCAACGCGGCCCUCCACGUCCUCCACGCCGUCAUCGGCAUUCUUCUCCGCGGAGGAGACUGCAGAGCUCGCGUACACGACGCACAAGAUAAAGAGCAACUUCUCUAACUACAGCGCGUGGCAUCAGCGUUCGCUGGCCAUUAAGUCCGCUGUGGAGCGAUCUCAACGCCAGCAGCAGCAGCAGCAGGGCGUUGUCAGCACCCCCGGGGAUGCGCAACAACACCAGCAGGCGUGGCAAGCAGCACUUUUGGCGCAAUUGCGGGAGGACAUCGAAUUUUUGAAGCAGGCGGUGUACUGCGAUCCUAACGACCAGUCGGCGUGGUUCUACGCGCCUUUCGUAUUCCAACUGCUGCGCAGGCAAUACCACUACGAGGACGAGGAUGGGGUCGCGGCGGCGCUGGAGGAAUCCUUCAUGAAUGCCGUGAUCGAGCUCGUCGCCGAUGUGGAUAGGGUCUGUACGGAAGACGAGUGCUACAUGCCGCACUACUUCCUCCUCGAUCAGCUUGUGACGCUGCAAGCCGCGUCUCAGGGGACGGCGUUGCCGACGACGGCGGUGUUCGCAGUUCCCGGCACGCGCAGCAGCGCAUCUCUGAAGCGGCACAUCACAGCGCUGUGUGGAAAGGUGCCAUCGCUGCUGGCGUGUGCGAAUGGCGAGGUGGCAGGCGAUGGAGACUUGACGAACGCACGGCGGCGCUGCUUUCGAUACCUGCAUACGCGCCUGUGGAAAGUGGACACGCUGCGUCGAUGCCUUUAUGAUGAUUUGUUUCAGCGCGCUCUCGAGGGAUGCCACUCAUGAUUGAAGUCGCUUUUUCUCUGUCCUCCUCCUUCCCCUCUCCCCAACCUCCCUGCCAUCAUCCCUCGGACAGGAUGCAGGAUUGCUUCCUGGUGAACAGUUACCGUCGUGCAUGGCGUUUGCUAUGUUUGACGUGUCUUCUCCGUCCUACAAAAGAAACGAAAGCGAAGGCGUCAGAGGCGCCUUGGCAAGCGCAGGUCGGGAGGAGGGAGCGGCGCUGCGUCGAGUCGGAUUCAGUGGUGUUUGGCGUGCAGCAGCCAUGGCACACGUGCGCACGGGAGGGAGGUGCACCUGCAAGCGAGUGAGUCGCACCCAGCGACCUUGUACACGCGAAAGG